GAUGAACGCUGGCGGCGUGCUUAACACAUGUAAGUCGAACGGAAAGGCCACAGCUUGCUGUGGUACUCGAGUGGCGAACGGGUGAGUAACACGUGGGUGAUCUGCCCUGUACUUCGGGAUAAGCUUGGGAAACUGGGUCUAAUACCGGAUAGGAAUCACAUGUGGGUGUGUGGUUGGAAAGCUUUUGCGGUAUGGGAUGAGCUCGCGGCCUAUCAGCUUGUUGGUGGGGUAAUGGCCUACCAAGGCGUCGACGGGUAGCCGGCCUGAGAGGGUGUACGGCCACAUUGGGACUGAGAUACGGCCCAGACUCCUACGGGAGGCAGCAGUAGGGAAUAUUGCACAAUGGGCGCAAGCCUGAUGCAGCGACGCCGCGUGGGGGAUGACGGCCUUCGGGUUGUAAACUCCUUUCGUCAGGGACGAAGCGAAAGUGACGGUACCUGGAUAAGAAGCACCGGCUAACUACGUG
This 466-nucleotide ribosomal RNA is filed under the name uncultured bacterium. Its description in RNAcentral is "partial 16S ribosomal RNA". It matches the Rfam family "Bacterial small subunit ribosomal RNA", at positions 28 to 507 of the family's 1533-position model. The record is from RNAcentral.